Molecule: unclassified non-coding RNA, 299 nt
Filed under: plant metagenome
Description: partial contains 5.8S ribosomal RNA, internal transcribed spacer 2, and large subunit ribosomal RNA
Rfam family: 5.8S ribosomal RNA (bases 1-105)
Source: RNAcentral
GAAACGCGAUAGUUAAUGUGAAUUGCAGAAUUCAGUGAAUCAUCGAGUCUUUGAACGCACAUUGCGCCCCCUGGCAUUCCGGGGGGCAUGCCUGUUCGAGCGUCAUUACACCACUCAAGCCUGGCUUGGUAUUGAGCGCCGCGGCCUGCCCGCGCGCUCCAAUGUCUCCGGCUGAGCCGUCCGUCUCUAAGCGUUGUGAAUAGCGAUCGCUUGCGAGGCCCGGGCGGUUCGACGCCGUUAAACCCCCCAUUUUCUAUGGUUGACCUCGGAUCAGGUAGGAAUACCCGCUGAACUUAAGC